GACGAACGCUGGCGGCGUGCUUAACACAUGCAAGUCGAGCGGAAAGGCCCUUUCGGGGGUACUCGAGCGGCGAACGGGUGAGUAACACGUGAGUAACCUGCCCCAGUCUUUGGGAUAACCCUCGGAAACGGGGGCUAAUACCGGAUACGACAUGUUCUCGCAUGGGAUACGUGUGGAAACUUUUUGGGUCUGGGAUGGGCUCGCGGCCUAUCAGCUUGUUGGUGGGGUGAUGGCCUACCAAGGCGACGACGGGUAGCCGGCCUGAGAGGGCGACCGGCCACACUGGGACUGAGACACGGCCCAGACUCCUACGGGAGGCAGCAGUGGGGAAUAUUGCACAAUGGGCGGAAGCCUGAUGCAGCGACGCCGCGUGAGGGAUGACGGCCUUCGGGUUGUAAACCUCUUUCAGCAGGGACGAAGCGUGAGUGACGGUACCUGCAGAAGAAGCGCCGGCCAACUACGUGCCAGCAGCCGCCGUAACAC
Molecule: ribosomal RNA, 483 nt
Filed under: uncultured bacterium
Lineage: Bacteria
Description: bacterial SSU rRNA
Rfam family: Bacterial small subunit ribosomal RNA
Source: RNAcentral